Molecule: ribosomal RNA, 678 nt
Filed under: uncultured bacterium
Lineage: Bacteria
Description: bacterial SSU rRNA
Rfam family: Bacterial small subunit ribosomal RNA
Source: RNAcentral
AGGGGCAGCGCAGUGUAGCAAUACAUGGGCGGCGACCGGCAAACGGGUGCGGAACACGUACGCAACCUUCCCAAAACUGGGGGAUAGCUUUCGGAAACGAAAAUUAAUACCCCGUAACACAGUGAGAUGGCAUCAUUUUAUUGUUAUAGUUCCGACGGUUUUGGAUGGGCGUGCGGCUGAUUAGGUAGUUGGCGGGGUAACAGCCCACCAAGCCUACGAUCAGUAACUGGUGUGAGAGCACGACCAGUCACACGGGCACUGAGACACGGGCCCGACUCCUACGGGAGGCAGCAGUAAGGAAUAUUGGUCAAUGGACGCAAGUCUGAACCAGCCAUGCCGCGUGGAGGAUGAAGGCCCUCUGGGUUGUAAACUUCUUUUAUCGAAGAAGAAACCCUAGCAUUCUUGCUGGGUUGACGGUACUCGAUGAAUAAGCACCGGCUAACUCCGUGCCAGCAGCCGCGGUAAUACGGAGGGUGCAAGCGUUAUCCGGAUUCACUGGGUUUAAAGGGUGCGUAGGCGGGUUGGUAAGUCAGUGGUGAAAUCUUCAAGCUUAACUUGGAAACUGCCGUUGAUACUAUCAAUCUUGAAUAUUGUGGAGGUAAGCGGAAUAUGUCAUGUAGCGGUGAAAUGCUUAGAUAUGACAUAGAACACCGAUNGCGAAGGCAGCUUGCUACACAA